CACCCCUAUCAGAAAUGGGCAAAGAGACACCUUAGUUUGUUGAUGGUGCCAUUCUUAUAUCAGUCAGGGGCAGAGCAGAUGGCAGCCCUUUGUUCAUCCUAGAUUGAUGCCUGGCUUGUUGGCCAAAACUAUCUUAUGCCUAGGACUCAUAA
Small nucleolar RNA from Rattus norvegicus (Norway rat), 152 nucleotides. Ensembl annotates it as small nucleolar RNA SNORA48. The record is from Ensembl. Lineage: Eukaryota; Metazoa; Chordata; Mammalia; Rodentia; Muridae.